UGAUUAAAGGGUCAAAAGGUAUCAUCAAUGCAUGCUUGCAUGCAAUUCGAUGUAUCCCUUAAUGACCCACACUUCACCGAGAAAGUAGCCAUUUACUGCGAAAGCGAAGGAAAUUAGCCCUAUUUCAAGAUAGAGUCAGAUUACAUGAAUGCAUUACAUGUAGUAAUCUGAUUAAUCA
RNAcentral lists this small RNA (178 nucleotides) under Eshraghiella crossota CAG:259. Its description in RNAcentral is "Butyrivibrio crossotus CAG:259 Clostridiales-1 RNA". It matches the Rfam family "Clostridiales-1 RNA". The record is from Rfam by way of RNAcentral. Lineage: Bacteria; Bacillati; Bacillota; Clostridia; Lachnospirales; Lachnospiraceae.